UCCCUGGUGGUCUGGCAGUUAGGACUCAGCACUUUUACUGCUGGGGCCUGGGUUCAAUCCCUGGUCUCGGAA
This 72-nucleotide transfer RNA is filed under the name Sus scrofa (pig). It matches the Rfam family "tRNA". Rfam says of the family: Transfer RNA (tRNA) molecules are approximately 80 nucleotides in length. Their secondary structure includes four short double-helical elements and three loops (D, anti-codon, and T loops). Lineage: Eukaryota; Metazoa; Chordata; Mammalia; Artiodactyla; Suidae. The record is from Rfam by way of RNAcentral.